CGAACGGGUGAGUAACGCGUGGGGAAUCUGCCUUUGAGCGGGGGACAACAUUUGGAAACGAAUGCUAAUACCGCAUAAAAACUUUUAAACACAAGUUUUAAGUUUGAAAGAUGCAAUUGCAUCACUCAAAGAUGAUCCCGCGUUGUAUUAGCUAGUUGGUGAGGUAAAGGCUCACCAAGGCGAUGAUACAUAGCCGACCUGAGAGGGUGAUCGGCCACAUUGGGACUGAGACACGGCCCAAACUCCUACGGAAGGCAGCAG
Molecule: ribosomal RNA, 261 nt
Filed under: uncultured bacterium
Lineage: Bacteria
Description: partial 16S ribosomal RNA
Rfam family: Bacterial small subunit ribosomal RNA
Source: RNAcentral